This 2951-nucleotide ribosomal RNA is filed under the name Arapaima gigas (arapaima). RNAcentral describes it as "bacterial LSU rRNA". It matches the Rfam family "Bacterial large subunit ribosomal RNA". Lineage: Eukaryota; Metazoa; Chordata; Actinopteri; Osteoglossiformes; Osteoglossidae. The record is from RNAcentral.
AGCGUACACGGUGGAUGCCCUGGCAGUCAGAGGCGAUGAAGGACGUGCUAAUCUGCGAUAAGCGUCGGUAAGGUGAUAUGAACCGUUAUAACCGGCGAUUUCCGAAUGGGGAAACCCAGUGUGUUUCGACACACUAUCAUUAACUGAAUCCAUAGGUUAAUGAGGCGAACCGGGGGAACUGAAACAUCUAAGUACCCCGAGGAAAAGAAAUCAACCGAGAUUCCCCCAGUAGCGGCGAGCGAACGGGGAGCAGCCCAGAGCCUGAAUCAGUGUGUGUGUUAGUGGAAGCGUCUGGAAAGGCGCGCGAUACAGGGUGACAGCCCCGUACACAAAAAUGCACAUGCUGUGAGCUCGAUGAGUAGGGCGGGACACGUGGUAUCCUGUCUGAAUAUGGGGGGACCAUCCUCCAAGGCUAAAUACUCCUGACUGACCGAUAGUGAACCAGUACCGUGAGGGAAAGGCGAAAAGAACCCCGGCGAGGGGAGUGAAAAAGAACCUGAAACCGUGUACGUACAAGCAGUGGGAGCACGCUUAGGCGUGUGACUGCGUACCUUUUGUAUAAUGGGUCAGCGACUUAUAUUCUGUAGCAAGGUUAACCGAAUAGGGGAGCCGAAGGGAAACCGAGUCUUAACUGGGCGUUAAGUUGCAGGGUAUAGACCCGAAACCCGGUGAUCUAGCCAUGGGCAGGUUGAAGGUUGGGUAACACUAACUGGAGGACCGAACCGACUAAUGUUGAAAAAUUAGCGGAUGACUUGUGGCUGGGGGUGAAAGGCCAAUCAAACCGGGAGAUAGCUGGUUCUCCCCGAAAGCUAUUUAGGUAGCGCCUCGUGAAUUCAUCUCCGGGGGUAGAGCACUGUUUCGGCAAGGGGGUCAUCCCGACUUACCAACCCGAUGCAAACUGCGAAUACCGGAGAAUGUUAUCACGGGAGACACACGGCGGGUGCUAACGUCCGUCGUGAAGAGGGAAACAACCCAGACCGCCAGCUAAGGUCCCAAAGUCAUGGUUAAGUGGGAAACGAUGUGGGAAGGCCCAGACAGCCAGGAUGUUGGCUUAGAAGCAGCCAUCAUUUAAAGAAAGCGUAAUAGCUCACUGGUCGAGUCGGCCUGCGCGGAAGAUGUAACGGGGCUAAACCAUGCACCGAAGCUGCGGCAGCGACGCUNUAGCUCACUGGUCGAGUCGGCCUGCGCGGAAGAUGUAACGGGGCUAAACCAUGCACCGAAGCUGCGGCAGCGACACUAUGUGUUGUUGGGUAGGGGAGCGUUCUGUAAGCCUGUGAAGGUGUGCUGUGAGGCAUGCUGGAGGUAUCAGAAGUGCGAAUGCUGACAUAAGUAACGAUAAAGCGGGUGAAAAGCCCGCUCGCCGGAAGACCAAGGGUUCCUGUCCAACGUUAAUCGGGGCAGGGUGAGUCGACCCCUAAGGCGAGGCCGAAAGGCGUAGUCGAUGGGAAACAGGUUAAUAUUCCUGUACUUGGUGUUACUGCGAAGGGGGGACGGAGAAGGCUAUGUUGGCCGGGCGACGGUUGUCCCGGUUUAAGCGUGUAGGCUGGUUUUCCAGGCAAAUCCGGAAAAUCAAGGCUGAGGCGUGAUGACGAGGCACUACGGUGCUGAAGCAACAAAUGCCCUGCUUCCAGGAAAAGCCUCUAAGCAUCAGGUAACAUCAAAUCGUACCCCAAACCGACACAGGUGGUCAGGUAGAGAAUACCAAGGCGCUUGAGAGAACUCGGGUGAAGGAACUAGGCAAAAUGGUGCCGUAACUUCGGGAGAAGGCACGCUGAUAUGUAGGUGAGGUCCCUCGCGGAUGGAGCUGAAAUCAGUCGAAGAUACCAGCUGGCUGCAACUGUUUAUUAAAAACACAGCACUGUGCAAACACGAAAGUGGACGUAUACGGUGUGACGCCUGCCCGGUGCCGGAAGGUUAAUUGAUGGGGUUAGCGCAAGCGAAGCUCUUGAUCGAAGCCCCGGUAAACGGCGGCCGUAACUNAGGGUGUGACGCCUGCCCGGUGCCGGAAGAUUAAAUGAUGGGGUGCAAGCUCUUGAUUGAAGUCCCGGUAAACGGCGGCCGUAACUAUAACGGUCCUAAGGUAGCGAAAUUCCUUGUCGGGUAAGUUCCGACCUGCACGAAUGGCGUAAUGAUGGCCAGGCUGUCUCCACCCGAGACUCAGUGAAAUUGAACUCGCUGUGAAGAUGCAGUGUACCCGCGGCAAGACGGAAAGACCCCGUGAACCUUUACUAUAGCUUGACACUGAACAUUGAGCCUUGAUGUGUAGGAUAGGUGGGAGGCUUAGAAGUGUGGACGCCAGUCUGCAUGGAGCCGACCUUGAAAUACCACCCUUUAAUGUUUGAUGUUCUAACGUUGACCCGUAAUCCGGGUUGCGGACAGUGUCUGGUGGGUAGUUUGACUGGGGCGGUCUCCUCCUAAAGAGUAACGGAGGAGCACGAAGGUUGGCUAAUCCUGGUCGGACAUCAGGAGGUUAGUGCAAUGGCAUAAGCCAGCUUGACUGCGAGCGUGACGGCGCGAGCAGGUGCGAAAGCAGGUCAUAGUGAUCCGGUGGUUCUGAAUGGAAGGGCCAUCGCUCAACGGAUAAAAGGUACUCCGGGGAUAACAGGCUGAUACCGCCCAAGAGUUCAUAUCGACGGCGGUGUUUGGCACCUCGAUGUCGGCUCAUCACAUCCUGGGGCUGAAGUAGGUCCCAAGGGUAUGGCUGUUCGCCAUUUAAAGUGGUACGCGAGCUGGGUUUAGAACGUCGUGAGACAGUUCGGUCCCUAUCUGCCGUGGGCGCUGGAGAACUGAGGGGGGCUGCUCCUAGUACGAGAGGACCGGAGUGGACGCAUCACUGGUGUUCGGGUUGUCAUGCCAAUGGCACUGCCCGGUAGCUAAAUGCGGAAGAGAUAAGUGCUGAAAGCAUCUAAGCACGAAACUUGCCCCGAGAUGAGUUCUCCCUGACUCCUUGA